AACGAACGCUGGCGGCAUGCCUAACACAUGCAAGUCGAACGAGACCUUCGGGUCUAGUGGCGCACGGGUGCGUACCGCGUGGGAACCUGCCCUUAGGUUCGGAAUCACUCCCCGUAAGGGGUGCUAAUACCGGAUAAUGUAUUCGGACCAAAGAUUUAUCGCCUUGGGAUGGGCCCGCGUUGGAUUAGCCAGUUGGUAGGGUAAAAGCCUACCAAGGCGACGAUGCAUAGCUGGUCUGAGAGGAGGAGCAGCCACGCUGGGACUGAGACACGGCCUAGACUCGUACGCAAGGCAGCAGAGGGGAAUACUGGGCAAGGGGGGAAAGCGUGAUCCAGCAAUGCCGGGGGAGUGAUGAAGGCCGUAGGGAAGUAAAGCUCUUUUACCCGGGAUGAUAAUGACAGUACCGGGAGAAUAAGCACCGGCUAACUCCGUG
Molecule: ribosomal RNA, 433 nt
Filed under: uncultured bacterium
Lineage: Bacteria
Description: partial 16S ribosomal RNA
Rfam family: Bacterial small subunit ribosomal RNA
Source: RNAcentral